RNAcentral lists this ribosomal RNA (433 nucleotides) under uncultured bacterium. RNAcentral's name for it is "partial 16S ribosomal RNA". It matches the Rfam family "Bacterial small subunit ribosomal RNA", at positions 29 to 507 of the family's 1533-position model. The record is from RNAcentral.
AACGAACGCUGGCGGCAUGCCUAACACAUGCAAGUCGAACGAGACCUUCGGGCCUAGUGGCGCACGGGUGCGUAACGCGUUGGAACCUGCCCUUAGGUUCGGCAUAACUCGCCGAAAGGGGUGCUAAUACCGGAUAAUGUCUCCGGACCAAAGAUUUAUAGCCUUUGGAUGGGCCCGCGUUGGAUUAGCUAGUUGGUAGGGUAAACGCCUACCAAAGCGACGAUACAUAGCUGGUCUGAGAGGAUGAUCAGCCACACUGGGACUGAGACACGGCCCAGACUCCUACGGGAGGCAGCAGUGGGGAAUAUUGGACAAUGGGCGAAAGCCUGAUCCAGCAAUGCCGCGUGAGUGAUGAAGGCCUGAGGGUUGUAAAGCUCUUUUACCCGGGAUGAUAAUGACAGUACCGGGAGAAUAAGCUCCGGCUAACUCCGUG